This 401-nucleotide unclassified non-coding RNA is filed under the name soil metagenome. RNAcentral describes it as "partial contains 5.8S ribosomal RNA, internal transcribed spacer 2, and large subunit ribosomal RNA". The stretch from base 1 to 121 matches the Rfam family "5.8S ribosomal RNA", at positions 35 to 154 of the family's 154-position model. The record is from RNAcentral.
GAUGAAGAACGUAGUGAAAUGCGAUAAAUAAUGUGAAUUGCAGAAUUCAGUGAAUCAUCGAAUCUUUGAACGCACCUUGCGCCCUUUGGCUAUUCCGAAGGGCAUGCCUGUUUGAGUAUCAUGAACACCUCAACUCUCAUGGUUUGCCAUGAUGAGCUUGGACUCUGGGGGUCUUGCUGGCCUAUGGUCAGCUCCUCUCAAAUAAAUCAGCUUGCCAGUGUUUGGUGGCAUCACAGGUGUGAUAACUAUCUACGCUUGUGGUUUUCCAUCAGGUAACCUUCAGUGAUGGAGGUUCGCUGGAGCUCAUAAAUGUCCCUCCUCAGCGAGGACAGCUUUUUGAACGUUUGAUCUCAAAUCAGGUAGGACUACCCGCUGAACUUAAGCAUAUCAAUAAGCGGAGA